Molecule: long non-coding RNA, 321 nt
Filed under: Drosophila guanche
Lineage: Eukaryota; Metazoa; Arthropoda; Insecta; Diptera; Drosophilidae
Source: RNAcentral
CAGUAUGUCGUAAAUGCAACAAUUCAAUAGCUUAAUGCUACAAAUUCAUUUUACUUAUACAAAAUACUAAUUGCUACGGGCCAUAAUUUGGCUAAUUGGCGUAAACAGCCACCAAAACUGGUCAUUGGGACAAUGGUGCAUCUGCACCUCAGCAGUGUUUUGUCAAAUUUUAAAUAGGCAGGGGCCGAGUGAAGCAGAAGCAGAGUGUGAAUGAGAGAAUGUGAAAGGAACAACAAAAGCUGCUGGACAGGGUGGGUUUAGCCACAGCAAAUUAAUUUCUUUAUUCUGGCUAUAAUAAUUUGGUGAUCUGAUAGAUAUGGC